AACGAACGCUGGCGGCAGGCCUAACACAUGCAAGUCGAACGGCCCUUCGGGGUAGUGGCGGACGGGUGAGUAACGCGUGGGAAUGUGCCCUUUGGUACGGAACAACUGAGGGAAACUUCAGCUAAUACCGUAUGUGCCCUUCGGGGGAAAGAUUUAUCGCCAUUGGAGCAGCCCGCGUUGGAUUAGGUAGUUGGUGGGGUAAAGGCCUACCAAGCCUACGAUCCAUAGCUGGUCUGAGAGGAUGAUCAGCCACAUUGGGACUGAGACACGGCCCAAACUCCUACGGGAGGCAGCAGUGGGGAAUCUUGCGCAAUGGGCGAAAGCCUGACGCAGCCAUGCCGCGUGUAUGAUGAAGGUCUUAGGAUUGUAAAUACUUUCACCGGGGAAGAUAAUGACGGUACCCGGAGAAGAAGCCCCGGCUAACUUCGUGCCAGCAGCCGCGGUAAU
Molecule: ribosomal RNA, 447 nt
Filed under: uncultured bacterium
Lineage: Bacteria
Description: bacterial SSU rRNA
Rfam family: Bacterial small subunit ribosomal RNA
Source: RNAcentral